Astatotilapia calliptera (eastern happy) is the source of this 1633-nucleotide long non-coding RNA. The record is from Ensembl. Lineage: Eukaryota; Metazoa; Chordata; Actinopteri; Cichliformes; Cichlidae.
CAGGACAGGAAGCGCAUCAAAGGUUUGUUCUCUUGGUAGUGCAAGCAACUGAGAGACGUGAAUUAUUUCUGAAAACGUGAAACGCCAUGUCAUUAAUAAGACGUAUUCAUUCAUCAAACCGGCUUUUGUCGAAAAGUGUCUCCGUCCUGUAUUUAAAGUCACUGCUGUUCAGACACUGUAUUCAUGGGGUGAGUCAUUGGGUGAAAAGCUGUGUUUGUGCAACGCGUGAAAAACAGAGGUCAGAACAGAAGGGGUAGUCCUCCUGGCUUUUAUUUGGAUUGAGGGCAGAAAUGAAACGCUGCAGUGCUGAUGGAGGUACAGGUGGAGGUUGUUUACUACUCUGAUCUUGGGGCAGCUGAGUCCGAAGCAAAAGUAAAAGGUUAUCUAAUCUUCUCCAGGUUUGGGUAGUGACUGCAGCACUCUGAGCAGAGAAUCCCAGACUUCCCUGACCCUGGCCACCUCUUCCAGCUCAUCAGAGAGGACACAGUCUUUCCCAACAUGUACACAUUAUGCUUACGUGUGGACGACUUUAAUGCACAAGGCUAAGAGGCAGGCAUGACCCUGGAUUCACAUGCACGAGCCUUGCUAAUAGAUUCACGGAGAUGGAAUUAGAGGAAAGUAGUUGCAGGGAGGGAGGUUUUAACAUGAUUUGUAACAGGAUCAAACUGCAUUUGCAUUGGAAUUGACAACUGAAUUUGCAUCACUGACCAAAACAUUCAAGUCCAAUCUUCUAAAUAUAUAAAUUCAUUUAUAAAUGGUUGUUCUGUGAUGUACGUUUAUUGUCCCAGUGUUAGCUGUAUAUAUGUCUGCGUGUAGAGCUUUUAUGACCAUUUAUACAAUGCUAAAAUAAACAUUGUGUGAUUGGUGUUUAUCUGUGCAUAUGAGCACAAAAUAAAGUAUCCCAGUGGUAUAGUAGCACUGAAAUUUAAUUAGCUCAUGGACACUUUUUGGCAAUAGCCUCUACUCUGAUCCUUACCAGAUGUACCUGACUCCUCAGACUAUCAGAUAUUUUACUCUCACCUUAGGAAACUCACAGGCUUGAUGGGUAAUUUUCAAUGCUCACUAUACAGUUAUUUUUCAAGCUGUUUGGAGAAAUCCAGGAAUUAAACUGACAGCUCGACAAAUGAACAAAUUCAACAUAAAUCUGACUUCCUGACCUUCUUGGCUUCGUAAAUUUCUGGCAACAUUCAUCGGGCACCAGUUCAAGAACUUUAAGCACUGCAGGAUUACCAUGGACAACUCGGUGCUGUCAUUUAAGUUUAAUGUAUAGAACCUUUUUUGAUAGGUAACUAAAACCAUUAAGGUAGCAAUUAAACAGUCUUCACUUUUUGUCAUGAGCCUUAGACUGCAUUGUAAAGAGAACGAUCCACUUCAAUAAAAGACAGAAGCUGAACAGCUGAACGUCCUUUGUUAAAUACCACAUAAUAAAUUCAGUCCACCAACCAAAGUUGUUGCAUAAAUGUGUAAACCCCCUUACCCUCAUGUUAUCAGUUUGAGUCAAAUGGCGCACAACCACACACAAGUGCAAUCUGUCAGGAAGGUCACUUUACUAUUUCCAAGAUUUAUUUGCUUACAUUUAAUGUCUUUUAUUAUUUUCUAAUGUAAAUAGGUGCAGCUAAAAACCAAAGAAAAU